UACGACGUGGGCUCGCGUUGUUCGGAAUUACUGGGCGUAAAGCGCACGUAGGCGGAUAUUUAAGUCAGGGGUGAAAUCCCAGAGCUCAACUCUGGAACUGCCUUUGAUACUGGGUAUCUCGAGUAUGGAAGAGGUGAGUGGAAUUCCGAGUGUAGAGGUGAAAUUCGUAGAUAUUCGGAGGAACACCAGUGGCGAAGGCGGCUCACUGGUCCAUUACUGACGCUGAGGUGCGAAAGCGGGGGGAGCAAACAGGAGUAGAUAACCGCGUAGUCC
RNAcentral lists this ribosomal RNA (273 nucleotides) under uncultured bacterium. RNAcentral's name for it is "partial 16S ribosomal RNA". It matches the Rfam family "Bacterial small subunit ribosomal RNA", at positions 524 to 796 of the family's 1533-position model. The record is from RNAcentral.